This 87-nucleotide transfer RNA is filed under the name Klebsiella pneumoniae. Its description in RNAcentral is "tRNA-Leu". It matches the Rfam family "tRNA". Rfam says of the family: Transfer RNA (tRNA) molecules are approximately 80 nucleotides in length. The record is from RNAcentral. Lineage: Bacteria; Pseudomonadati; Pseudomonadota; Gammaproteobacteria; Enterobacterales; Enterobacteriaceae.
GCGAAGGUGGCGGAAUUGGUAGACGCGGUAGCUUCAGGUGUUCGUGUCCUUACGGACGUGGGGGUUCAAGUCCCCCCCCUCGCACCA